AUAGGUUUCCCCUCCACCAUCUCCUUCUAUUCGUUGUUCUUGCUUUCUCUCAUCUAUGACUGAGCUUGAGGAUUUUGGAGUUUGAACAGGAGAAAGAAUGAAGUGAAAAUGAAGGGAAGGAGGAAGUGAAUAUCAGUCAAAAGAAGAAAUUAUUUGUUGCUAGUGCAACUGGGAAGACACUGGAAAGAGGAUUUUUUAGCAGUUUCUAUCAAAGAGUUUAAUCUUACAACUGAAGCUACAAAAUUCUCUUGCUUGAAAACUGCUGCUAAUGGUGCUAGUUCUCUUCUUCCUUUGAUAAGGUUGAUCAAAUAAACAAGCAGAAGAUAAAUGCAGUAAAGAUACUUAAGAUUUGGUUGAUCGGUGCUAGACUCUUGCAUGUUCUAUGAAUCUUUUAUUUAUUUGAAACUUUGUUCAAGCUUCCGUAAACUCUUAAAUUGUUAAACAGUAUUGUAUAUUUUACUUUUAAUAUGUGAAUAAUAAUAGUUGGAUAUUUUGGAAUA
Molecule: long non-coding RNA, 500 nt
Organism: Nicotiana tabacum (common tobacco)
Lineage: Eukaryota; Viridiplantae; Streptophyta; Magnoliopsida; Solanales; Solanaceae
Source: RefSeq, a predicted model, not a curated record